GGAAUUGUUCGCAAUGGGCGAAAGCCUGACGCAGCGACGCCGCGUGAGGGAUGAAGGCCAUCGGGUCGUAAACCUCUGUCAGGGGGGAAGAACCCCGGAUCGGUGAAUAACCGCUCCGGCUGACGGUACCCCCCGAGGAAGCACCGGCUAACUCCGUGCCCGCAGCCGCGGUAAGACGGAGGGUGCAAACGUUGUUCGGAAUCACGGGGCGUAAAGGGCGCGCAGGCGGACUCGCAAGUCGGGAGUGAAAACUCGGGGCUCAACCCCGAGCCUGCUUCCGAAACUACGAGUCUUGAGGACCGGAGAGGAAAGUGGAAUUCCCAGUGUAGCGGUGGAAUGCGUAGAUAUUGGGAAGAACACCAGUGGCGAAGGCGACUUUCUGGACGGUUCCUGACGCUGAGGCGCGAAAGCUAGGGGAGCAAAC
RNAcentral lists this ribosomal RNA (424 nucleotides) under uncultured bacterium. Its description in RNAcentral is "bacterial SSU rRNA". It matches the Rfam family "Bacterial small subunit ribosomal RNA", at positions 358 to 773 of the family's 1533-position model. The record is from RNAcentral.